This is an RNA transcript of Sitophilus oryzae (rice weevil), 743 nucleotides long. It is a transcript of the gene named zinc finger protein 512B-like, with no coding region annotated. The transcript has 3 exons. The record is from RefSeq and is a predicted model, not a curated record. Lineage: Eukaryota; Metazoa; Arthropoda; Insecta; Coleoptera; Curculionidae.
UAAAUUUAACAAUACGUUUUCGAUUUUAGUUUAUUGUAAAAUGUCGUGAUUUACGAAGGUGCAUGACUUUGGGAAACAUAAACGUAACAAAUUAUGUGAAAAGUAAAUAUAAUUUUUCUAUAUGCCCCAUUGCGUUAUUUUUUUAUUUAUUCUUCUAAAUAUUGAUCUUAGUUUGCUUGCUGGGUGUAGCUGUCUGUCAAGAAGAUGCUCAUCAGAGAUUGAGGCGAGGAAUAAAGACCAUUACUGUUCCAAAACCCUAUCCGGUUUAUGUACCGAAACCGUACCCUGUGGUCAAAACUAUUCCAGUUAAAAUUCCAUACAAAGUCACCAUAUCCAAACCCUACCCCGUAGAAGUACUCAAACCGUAUCCAGUCCCAGUGACGAAAACCGUGCAAGUUCCAGUCACCAGAACCGUCCAGGUACCUGUCAAGGUGCCGAUCCACGUACCCGUUCCUGUGAAAGUACCCGUGGCGGUACCACAACCUUACCCUAUCACCAUCGAAAACCUGAAGGUCGUGAAGGAGUCGUACCCAGUUUACGUUGGAGGUGGCGGUGGUGGCCAUUCGUCCUCCUACGUCAUCGGAAGUGCCCACGGUGACAUCAAAGUGGGAAGUGGACAUGGUUGGUGGUAGUCUAUAUGCGUUAGGUUUGGAUAAGUCUAUUUGGUUAAUUUGUUUGUUGAUUAGUAGUAAGUGAAAUCUUAAAAUCUUGAUUGGCGUAAAUUCGUUUGAGAUUGAUGUUUU